Molecule: ribosomal RNA, 497 nt
Filed under: uncultured bacterium
Lineage: Bacteria
Description: partial 16S ribosomal RNA
Rfam family: Bacterial small subunit ribosomal RNA
Source: RNAcentral
GAUGAACGCUGGCGGCGUGCCUAAUACAUGCAAGUCUAGCGAACGGACGAGAAGCUUGCUUCUCUGAUGUUAGCGGCGGACGGGUGAGUAACACGUGGAUAACCUACCUAUAAGACUGGGAUAACUUCGGGAAACCGGAGCUAAUACCGGAUAAUAUUUUGAACCGCAUGGUUCAAAGGUGAAAGACGGUCUUGCUGUCACUUAUAGAUGGAUCCGCGCUGCAUUAGCUAGUUGGUAAGGUAACGGCUUACCAAGGCAACGAUGCAUAGCCGACCUGAGAGGGUGAUAGGCCACACUGGAACUGAGACACGGUCCAGACUCCUACGGGAGGCAGCAGUAGGGAAUCUUCCGCAAUGGGCGAAAGCCUGACGGAGCAACGCCGCGUGAGUGAUGAAGGUCUUCGGAUCGUAAAACUCUGUUAUUAGGGAAGAACAUAUGUGUAAGUAACUGUGCACAUCUUGACGGUACCUAAUCAGAAAGCCACGGCUAACUACGUG